Molecule: ribosomal RNA, 465 nt
Filed under: uncultured bacterium
Lineage: Bacteria
Description: partial 16S ribosomal RNA
Rfam family: Bacterial small subunit ribosomal RNA
Source: RNAcentral
GACGAACGCUGGCGGCGUGCUUAACACAUGCAAGUCGUACGGUAAGGCCCUUUCGGGGGUACACGAGUGGCGAACGGGUGAGUAACACGUGAGUAACCUGCCCACAACUUUGGGAUAACGCUAGGAAACUGGUGCUAAUACUGGAUAUGUGCUCCUGCUGCAUGGUGGGGGUUGGAAAGCUCCGGCGGUUGUGGAUGGACUCGCGGCCUAUCAGCUUGUUGGUGGGGUAGUGGCCUACCAAGGCGGGGACGGGUAGCCGGCCUGAGAGGGUGACCGGCCACCUUGGGACCGAGAUAAGGCCCAGACGCCUACGGGAGGACGCAGUGGGGAAUAUUGCCAAAUGGGCGCAAGCCUGAUGCAGAAACGCCGCGGGCGGGAUGACGGCCUUCGGGUUGUAAACCGCUUUCAGCAGGGACGAAGCUUUUUGUGACGGUACCUGCAGAAGAAGCACCGGCUAACUACGUG